Molecule: long non-coding RNA, 4588 nt
Organism: Strongylocentrotus purpuratus (purple sea urchin)
Lineage: Eukaryota; Metazoa; Echinodermata; Echinoidea; Camarodonta; Strongylocentrotidae
Exons: 4
Source: RefSeq, a predicted model, not a curated record
UUUUUUGGGGGGGGGGGGCGCUGGCUCAUUUGAAAAUUUUCAGCUUAGCAACUUAGGUCCGAAUCCCUACUAAAAAAUGAUCUAGAGAUAUUCCUGGAUGUAUACUGCACUUGGCCCGUUUGCGUUUUACACCCUGGCCUGGACAUUUUCCCGGUAAAUAGCAAUGAAACUGCUUGAAUGAGUCUAGUCUACGCUCCUCGAUCGGGCGCGCCAGUUCCAAAUCGAAUCGUACAUGCGAUAUGCACAGUACAGACGUACGUCGAUGCAGCAUUUAUACACACCGUACGCAGCUGCAAUACUGAAGAUUAAGGGAGAAGAUAUAGGAUUUCAAGUUCAGAACAACAAGUUAAGAAGCUUGCUGCACGAUGGAAUUCAUCGAGGAUGAUGACGGAGUGGCAAUGCAGACGCCUUUGCGGGCAAUUCUACCUAGAUCUACCCAUAAUGAAGAUCAUGAAUACCAUUACCAUGUAAAUAACUUUGAGAGCCAUGAUGAAUCUGGAUUCACAGCAUCACUGGUGAUAAAUGUCAAAGCAGAAGAUGAUGCAAAAAAAUGGAUGAGCGAGUUUGCAGAGUCUUCUCGCACCACAUGGAGGGUAAUGAGAACCUGCCCGACAGCGAAGAAAUAUGUGCUCUUUAAGAAGAUCUAUCGAUGUCAUCAUGGGCAGCAAAGACGGGCUAAGGAAGGGACAUCUCGUCACAGCAAGGACACUAGGUGCUGCGCUAAACUUACUCUCACUGUAAGGAGAACAGUGACACAAUCCGGGAGGAAGAGCAAGUAUGUGAAUAUAGUAGCGAUAAAUUGUCAAUCACCUAUUUAGAGGAAACCAAAACCCAAGGAGAGAAUCAAUCUCAUAUGAAAGAGUAAAAUGAGAGGAGCAAUUUAAAGAAAGUUUCAUCAAAAACGGUUAUAAAAUAAGAGAGUUAUGGAAGUUCGAAAAGUCUCGUUUUACUUUCUAUGGGGAUCCUCAAAUUGGCAACGCUGCUUCAAAAUGGCUGAUUUUGUGGACAACUCUCCAUUCACUUUGUACAAAAGGGAAGAAAAGCUACUGUUGUGGGAAAGGUGAAAAACAAUUAUUGUGAGCUUUCAAAUUCUUUUCAUGUUAUUUAGGAAGAUUAGUAAAAAGAUCCACUACAAAAGAUUGUUGUUCAAAUGACCUCACAUUCAUAAUAAGAGAAAAGCAGCUCAAAUGUUCAGACCGAACAUUUGUGUGUAGCCACAUACAUGCAUAUCUGUGUGCAGUGCAUGUGACUCUCCUAGCAGAAUCAAGUUGAUUUCUUAUCAUUUUGGUGAUACCAAAAGCAUACACCAAUUCUUAGAUGCAUUAUAAUAAACCUUUCCCAAUCACUUUGAGACAGUUCUUCCACAUUUCAAUCUCAAGACCAGAACUAAACUUUAUCUAAAGGAGAACAUGCAUUUAAGUUUCAUAGGAUUUUAUAUUCUGAUAUUUUAAUAUAAAAAGGCUGGUCAAUCAUGUUUUUAUUAUUUUAAAUAACCAUUUAUUACCUUAGGUAGUGCAUCCAAUGCGUAAAUCAAAUCGAACAGGUACAUGUAGCUCUGGAUAAAUGAAUGUUUUCAAUAUUUGAAAUGGGAUGAAUGAAGGCCGGAGAGCCAAAAUUCUCAUUAAUUUUGGGAGAUAACUAGAUCACAUGUCGACGGUCAGAAAGUUGUUGAGUAACAUAUACAUGUAGGGCCAUUAUUAUUUUGGUACAUGCUUAUUGGAUCAUAAUGCUCUGGUUAAAUCAACAAUUAAAAUAAGGAAGCUAGAGAGAAUCUUCUUGAUCCCAAAAUUUAAGACAAACGUAAAUAAAAAAAUAAUACAAGAAAAUUUCCAAAAUAUUAUUAUAUUGUUCCAGAUUUUCUCAUGUGUUUUAUUGCAUGCUACAGUCCACUCCCGUUGUAGUGAGGUGCUCGGGACCAAACCAAUUACCUCGUUAUAAUGAAAUCUCAUUAUAUCAAAGAUACUGACCACAUAGGUUUAUACAUGAAUAUUUUAAAAUUGGGCCCUGGAGAAUUGCCUCGUUAUAACGAAAUCUCGUUGUAUCCGUGCUCGUUAUAUCGGGAGUGGACUGUUUGAUCAUGGACGUUGAAUUCAUAAUUUGUUGAUCAUCUUCAUUAUAAUGACCCAUUAGGAUUUGUCCAUCUGUCAGUCAUCGUGAUAUCUCAACAACCACUUGAGACAUGAACUUCAACCUUGAUUAUAGUAUGUAUCACCAUUAGGAAGACGAUCUGAUUAGAUUUUGGAGUACGUAAGUCAAAGGUCAAGGGUCACAGAGGUCAUUAUCUGGUGUUUUGUGUCAUCAACAUAUUAAGAUGUUGAGUGUGGCAGGGUGAAUAGUUAAACAUAGGCAGAGGCAUAUUGGAAUGAAGUCGCACACAUCAAGUUUCUAACAUGUUAGUGUUACUUACCAGCAUGAAGUCUUGUCCAUUUACAGAUUGUUAUGAGCCUGCAGAAUGAUUGAAGGUGCCUGACAAGUAUUCGGAAAUGUGCAUGAUAUAUUGUCACUGUUUUUCAUUCAUGUGCAUGACCUAACUCUUUUCACAUUUUUUGUCUUUCAUCCGUAUUACAACUAAACCAUUAUUUACGAGGGAUCGCUUGGAUAACAUCUGAGCACAUUUCACUCCACAAUCUGAUGACCUUGUGGAAAGAGUCCACAACAUGUUCUUAGAGAUGGAGGAGAAGCUUAAGCAGGACCCUGCCACAUUUGCAGAGCCCUUUAAGGCUAUGCUACAGUCUCAUAGGAGGCUUAAGACUGAUAGCAGUCUCACAUCUGCUAUCAGAAUGUAUGGGAGAUACAGUGGCGUCAACCUUGCCAGGCGCAAGGUUAAGCCCAAGGUAUGUAUCCUUAAGACUUCUGGACCUAGCAUUGGCGUGCAGCCAACAGCCAUUGCUCGCAGAAGAGUGAAGAUUGGGGGGAGGAGAAACUUGACAUCGGGACGUCCGACCAAGCAGGCAACAGUUGAAGAACAUGGCUAUGCCAAAGGUGGUCAGUCAUCACAGUCAUCACAGUCAUCGCAGCUUCCACGUAAAAAACGUGCAGCUGCACCACAUAAUCUGAACCAUGCGGUCACAAUGUGCCAAUCUCUAGGCAAAACCCAUAGUAAAACAUAGUUUUUGUCUUGCCUGCGUACAUGUAUAUAGACGUCACUCUUUCCGACGUCAUUGUCGGCAUCAACAAUUAUGUUGUACUCACAAUAAAUUUCCAUAGCCUUUAGGUAGUAUCACCAAAUUCACACCAGUGGUACUUGCAUCUCUUGAAGACUCGGGUCGAGUUCGAAUAUGGGUCAUAUUCGACAAAGUUCAAAGGUCAAAAAGUCAAUGAACUUUAUAUGAAAAGCAUUGUACACACAAACUUAUCCAUAGCUUUGAGGGAGUAUUGCCAAAUUUACACCAGUGGAAACCUUUAAUAAUGAUGAGGUUCCUGGGACCUGAAAAUUUGGGAUAAAGGAAAUAUUAUUAUAUGUUAUGUUGUUAUAUAUAUUAGGUCUAUUAUUUAGAUUUAGGGUUUUAGAGGCAACGAUAUUUUUGGAGGUCUGUCACGGUCGUCUCAGAGAGCUAAAAUAUUAAAUCUCAUUUCUUAACGUCUAAGCCUAUGGAGAAUUCAUAAUAACAUAAAAUAUUGGACGCAAUGAACAUUCUGCCACGCCCACAAGAUUAUGAUUGGUCAAUACAUGAUUGUGUGCAUUCAGCUAACGUGAAGUAACAAUAAAACCUAUGUUGCUCUUUUUUAUUUUUCCUCUUAAGCCACGCCAUUAUUAGUGAUUGUGCGCAUGCAGCUAUUAAACGUGACGUCACCAUAUGAAAUUGCACCAUCCAAGUAACUACUUCGUUUUCAAUAAUUGUAACGUCACAAUAACUUCAAGUAACAACUUGGAUUGGGAUAUGUAAAUUCUAGAUGUUCGACUUUGUACAGGUAAAUGAUUAUAUUAGUGUUACGGUAGGCCUACUGUUUUCUUGAAAUUCAAACAUUUUUAACUUUUCAUGUUAGUUGUGCACCAGCACCACAUAAAUGCUUGGGAAAUUUCAUAUUUGCACUCGUUUCAAGCUUCAAUUGCCAAGAUGCAGUUUACAAGUACAUGUACUAGUAUAUUAUAAAAAAUGGUGAAUAAAUCACAAUAUCUCUGUGGAGUAUCUAAAUAAUAAUUAUAAUAUUGGAUGAUCAAUUUUCGCGAAAUACGUGAAAUAUUGUUACUCGCUGAAGAAAAAUAUUUUCACGUAUCAUCCAUUAUUAUGUGUAUUCAGUUCGUUAUCUCCAAAGUAAAGUGCGGUGCACGCCUCUGCGCCCAUGAAUCCGCCUAUGUUCAGAUCUCUUUUUAUCUACAUGUGCAUGUAUUUUCAAAUAAAAAUUUCUUAUAGUCAUUUCUUGCAUCUAAAUCUUAACACACUGUCAAAUUAUCUGUUCAAAUUUCUACUAUUGUUUGCUUUCACUUUUACUACAUAUUUCUUCUUUAUAUAACUAUUUAUGCAUACACAUACUCCUGUAUCUUUUGUAUUACUUCUCUGACAUUGAAGGAUUAGAUUACCUUCACGAAAAAAAAAAGUAUAUGAAUGUAAAGCAGUAAAUAAAGUGCAAAUGAAUUCAUGUAAAA